UUGGAAUACCCUGUUAAAAACACCAACUGAAUUAAUGAGCACUUAUAAAAUUAAUAAGCAUAGAUGAAAUCACACACAUCAUUUUAGCCUCUUAGUAUAUUAUAAUGUUCCCAUGAGGCUACUGCAAGUUCAAAAAUUGAGAAAUUUUGUGAUGGACAAAAAAUGACAAGCAUGAUCUAUUUAAUUACAAAUUUAUAACAGUAAGUGAUCCAAACAGGUAGGAGUUGGCAGCUUGUAAGAACAACCUAUAAUGUGUCUAAAUUGAAGCAUGUGUAUCAAUAGCUUAUGCUGCCAAUUUUCAACUAAAUCCUAUAAAUGAAAGCAGCAUUAAGCAAGAAAUAUAGGCCUAAAUUCGUGAUUGUAACAGUUAUAACAGUAUUUACUCAUCAGAAACAUGAGUAUUCUAUAUGUUUUCGUUAUACCAUGAACAGAACUUGGCUUAAUUUUG
This 448-nucleotide unclassified non-coding RNA is filed under the name Hevea brasiliensis (rubber tree). Lineage: Eukaryota; Viridiplantae; Streptophyta; Magnoliopsida; Malpighiales; Euphorbiaceae. The record is from RNAcentral.